GUGAAUCAUCAAAUUUUUGAACGCAAAUUGCGCCUUUUUCGGUAGGCAUGUCUGUUUGAGGGCCACAUUUAACAAAUAAUGUGCAGCGUUUUUUGUUGCACACGUUGAUGAGCUUUUCAAGAUUUGUAAAUUUUUGGUGGCGCUUAAUGAACAGCGUGAAAGGAUUUUUAAGUUUGAGCGCAGUAAA
This 187-nucleotide unclassified non-coding RNA is filed under the name Paraglomerales sp. RNAcentral's name for it is "partial contains 5.8S ribosomal RNA and internal transcribed spacer 2". The stretch from base 1 to 65 matches the Rfam family "5.8S ribosomal RNA", at positions 84 to 154 of the family's 154-position model. Lineage: Eukaryota; Fungi; Glomeromycota; Glomeromycetes; Paraglomerales. The record is from RNAcentral.